This 302-nucleotide long non-coding RNA is filed under the name Canis lupus familiaris (dog). RNAcentral describes it as "lncRNA (ENSCAFG00040025827.1)". The record is from RNAcentral. Lineage: Eukaryota; Metazoa; Chordata; Mammalia; Carnivora; Canidae.
CCUGCUUUGGUGCAUCUGCUUGACUGAGUCCAGGUCACAUGAUCCAGCUGCAAGGGCACAUCGGAAAUACAGUUUCUGGAAUGGAGAGAGGCAGCCUGAAAUCCCUCCCGUUGUUGUCACCAGUGACUUCGGCACCCCCAGGAGAAGAGUGUUUUCCCCAGAAGUUCUUAUGGGAAAAAAGUCUGAGUUUGUCCCCAGAGGAAGGGAAGAAGACUCUAAGAAGAAGGGCCCGCCCGGGACAGGUAAGUGUUUGAUGGAGCAAUCGGGUGAAAAUCUAGAACCAAGCGUGCUGCAGGGGAGAG